GUUCAUUCCUGAACAUAUACUGGAACAAUACAGAGAAGACUAGCAUGGCCCUGCUCAAAGACGACACGCAAAGUCAUAAAACGUUCCAAAUUCUU
This is a non-coding RNA of Teladorsagia circumcincta, 95 nucleotides long. The record is from the annotation of a GenBank genome assembly. Lineage: Eukaryota; Metazoa; Nematoda; Chromadorea; Rhabditida; Trichostrongylidae.